UCUACGGGGGGCAGCAGUGGGGAAUAUUGCACAAUGGGCGAAAGCUGAUGCAGCGACGCCGCGUGAGGGAUGACGGCCUUCGGGUUGUAAACCUCUUUCAGCAGGGAAGAAGCGAAAGUGACGGUACCUGCAGAAGAAGCACCGGCUAACUACGUGCCAGCAGCCGCGGUAAU
RNAcentral lists this ribosomal RNA (173 nucleotides) under uncultured Streptomyces sp. RNAcentral describes it as "partial 16S ribosomal RNA". It matches the Rfam family "Bacterial small subunit ribosomal RNA", at positions 338 to 524 of the family's 1533-position model. Lineage: Bacteria; Bacillati; Actinomycetota; Actinomycetes; Kitasatosporales; Streptomycetaceae. The record is from RNAcentral.